UACGUAGGAUCCAAGCGUUGUUCGGAUUUACUGGGCGUAAAGGGCGCGUAGGCGGCCACCGCAAGUCGACUGUGAAAUCUCCGGGCUUAACCCGGAAAGGUCAGCCGAUACUGCGGGGCUAGAGUGCAGAAGGGGCAACUGGAAUUCUCGGUGUAGCGGUGAAAUGCGUAGAUAUCGAGAGGAACACCUGCGGCGAAGGCGGGUUGCUGGGCUGACACUGACGCUGAUGCGCGAAAGCUAGGGGAGCGAACGGG
Molecule: ribosomal RNA, 254 nt
Filed under: uncultured bacterium
Lineage: Bacteria
Description: partial 16S ribosomal RNA
Rfam family: Bacterial small subunit ribosomal RNA
Source: RNAcentral